AAAGCUUUUGAAGGGACGAGCAAAGCAGCUCCAGCUUGCUAACGAUGCUAACGCUAGCUGCUACGACUGCAGCAGAUUUAAACAUUCGAGAAGCAAUGACUCUCUAAUGUCGAAAUUAAACACUCAAAGUCGCUUCGAGAUGUUAUCCGGAGCCCUGUGGUGUAAAAUCUAGCAUUGUUGUGUUAUUGCACGUCAAACUAUCCAUCGAGGUAGAUCACAGAGACGGCGUUAUGGUCAGUGUUAUCAGCAGAAAGCUUUCCUGCUCUGGUUAUCGCAGCCUCCAUCGGCUCAGAAGUGCAGAGGUGUGCAUCCUGUCUGGGCCUUGCGUCAGCAGCUUGAGUCCAUCGGUCCCUCCAUGUUCAUGUCAGUGUGAAAUAUAACCAGCUCAGAAACCAGAGGAUGUCCACAUGCUGACAGACAGAGCACAGAGAGGACGAGAGACGAAGCAGACAUGUUGGUUCUGGUGAUCAGUUUGCUGUACUGGACUCCAGCUGAAGGUGCUUGCCGUGGAACUCUCGUGAGUAUUUCUGGAGACAACAGGGAGCUUCCAGCCGGAGAGUCCUUCAAACUGACCUGUGAGUUCACCUGUUUGAGAGCCAAACAUGUGGCACAGCUGUGGAGGCAAUGCGAACAUGAGGACAAAGUGUCACUUGUCAAUGUCACCUCCUUCCUGCCCAACGUGACUCUGAUCCUGAACAUCAAUUCUGCAACAAAGGCCGACACUGGAAACUACUGCUGCAUGACCCAACCGCCCGACACAAUCAGCCCCUCAGUACUGAUUCAGGUCGCAGAUAACCUGACAAGACAAACAUCUAGCCUGACCACCACAAGUUCACCACGGUGUGGAAACGCCCAACAAACCAGCAGGGCAGCAGGUUUGCAGGGUCAGAUGUGGUACUGGAUGCUUCUGGGAAAAACUGCCAUCCUCCUCCUCAGCUUGGCCUUCCUGGCUGUGAAAUGCAAGAGAGGAUGAGAGGAAGAAGGAUUCAGAUAUCUCUUCACAACAAAGCUUUGCGUCUACCCAGUGGUGUGCACAGACAUUUAGGGGAUCAGGUGCUCAGUGAAAAAAAGGGCACUUUGUGUGGCGUGUAGAACCACUGGCUGCCUUAAUAUAACAGUGUGAG
Molecule: long non-coding RNA, 1124 nt
Organism: Amphiprion ocellaris (clown anemonefish)
Lineage: Eukaryota; Metazoa; Chordata; Actinopteri; Pomacentridae
Source: Ensembl